UGGGGGACCCUGAGGGGACCAUGGUCAUGAAGGACAACCAGACUACACCUCCUGGCCACGGAGGAACAAGCUGAGCAGCACAGGACCACACACAGUCUCACUGAGUCAGUAGACAUGGAGGAUGGGAAGCCUGAUCUGCUGCUGGUCAAAGAGGAGACGAUAGAAGAUGAACCAGAGAGCAUUGAUCUGCUGAGUGGACGAAAGAUGGGGGAACAAGGUGGUUGGCUGGAAGCUAACAGAGGAG
Non-coding RNA from Salmo salar (Atlantic salmon), 244 nucleotides. Lineage: Eukaryota; Metazoa; Chordata; Actinopteri; Salmoniformes; Salmonidae. The record is from RefSeq and is a predicted model, not a curated record.